RNAcentral lists this transfer RNA (48 nucleotides) under Salmonella enterica subsp. enterica serovar Heidelberg. RNAcentral describes it as "tRNA-Ser". It matches the Rfam family "tRNA", at positions 28 to 71 of the family's 71-position model. Rfam says of the family: Transfer RNA (tRNA) molecules are approximately 80 nucleotides in length. Their secondary structure includes four short double-helical elements and three loops (D, anti-codon, and T loops). Further hydrogen bonds mediate the characteristic L-shaped molecular structure. tRNAs have two regions of fundamental functional importance: the anti-codon, which is responsible for specific mRNA codon recognition, and the 3' end, to which the tRNAs corresponding amino acid is attached (by aminoacyl-tRNA synthetases). tRNAs cope with the degeneracy of the genetic code in two manners: having more than one tRNA (with a specific anti-codon) for a particular amino acid; and 'wobble' base-pairing, i.e. permitting non-standard base-pairing at the 3rd anti-codon position. The record is from RNAcentral. Lineage: Bacteria; Pseudomonadati; Pseudomonadota; Gammaproteobacteria; Enterobacterales; Enterobacteriaceae.
UGACUUUUAAUCAAUUGGUCGCAGGUUCGAAUCCUGCACGACCCACCA